UUUAUUUUAUGCAAAACAUUUUCAUCAACAAUAAUGCAUGUUAAUUUCAUCUUAGUCAGCGUUUUUGGACAUUGGCACAGUCUCGUCAUUGUCUCAUCUUAGUCAUGGAAAAAAACAUAUUUAGUCUCGUCUGACGAAAUGAACUUACGAACCCAUUCCCUUGAGCAUGUUUUCCCUGUCCGUCUGGUUUGUUUUUGUGUUUUGUGUUUUACGUUCCUGACUGUCCCCCGUUCUGGUUGCCGAGCAACGAGUGCAAGGCGGAAAAUUCCAGGAUCACCAGAACCUUCUCUCAACCGGAUCCUCGUCAGCAAUCUACACACCUGUUCCUGAUCAUCAUCACUACCACCAUCAUCCAGGCCCUGCCAGAUCGUCCUCUAUAUUUAUAUAGUUGCUGGGAAACGAGUGCAAGGCGGAAAAUUCCAGGAUCACCAGAACCUCCUCUCAACCGGAUCCUCGUCAGCAAUCUACACACCUGUUCCUGAUCAUCAUCACUACCACCAUCAUCCAGGCCCUGCCGGAUCGUUAGCAACACUAUACCUUCCCCCUGGAAUUCCCUUCCCCCCCGGUCUGGUAACCAGAACCAUCAACUUCGUCGUUCCAUCAAGACUCCUGUUCACCAGUACUCACCUCCCAACACAUUCGUCACCACUAUCAGCAUUCCAUCACCCGGACUCACCUGUCUACACGCCUGGCAUUACCUUUUCAAAUAUAUUUUGGUCAUCAAUAAAUACUGACCUUUUUUACCACCA
This is a long non-coding RNA of Perca flavescens (yellow perch), 749 nucleotides long. RefSeq lists it as uncharacterized. The record is from RefSeq and is a predicted model, not a curated record. NCBI's taxonomy places the organism in Eukaryota, Metazoa, Chordata, Actinopteri, Perciformes, Percidae. The transcript is spliced from 3 exons.